CACGCCGCGUGAGUGAUGAAGGUUUUCGGAUCGUAAAGCUCUGUUGUUAGGGAAGAACAAGUGCCGUUCAAAUAGGGCGGCACCUUGACGGUACCUAACCAGAAAGCCACGGCUAACUACGUGCCAGCAGCCGCGGUAAUACGUAGGUGGCAAGCGUUGUCCGGAAUUAUUGGGCGUAAAGGGCUCGCAGGCGGUUUCUUAAGUCUGAUGUGAAAGCCCCCGGCUCAACCGGGGAGGGUCAUUGGAAACUGGGGAACUUGAGUGCAGAAGAGGAGAGUGGAAUUCCACGUGUAGCGGUGAAAUGCGUAGAGAUGUGGAGGAACACCAGUGGCGAAGGCGACUCUCUGGUCUGUAACUGACGCUGAGGAGCGAAAGCGUGGGGAGCGAACAGGAUUAGAUACCCUGGUAGUCCACGCCGUAAACGAUGAGUGCUAAGUGUUAGGGGGUUUCCGCCCCUUAGUGCUGCAGCUAACGCAUUAAGCACUCCGCCUGGGGAGUACGGUCGCAAGACUGAAACUCAAAGGAAUUGACGGGGGCCCGCACAAGCGGUGGAGCAUGUGGUUUAAUUCGAAGCAACGCGAAGAACCUUACCAGGUCUUGACAUCCUCUGACAAUCCUAGAGAUAGGACGUCCCCUUCGGGGGCAGAGUGACAGGUGGUGCAUGGUUGUCGUCAGCUCGUGUCGUGAGAUGUUGGGUUAAGUCCCGCAACGAGCGCAACCCUUGAUCUUAGUUGCCAGCAUUCAGUUGGGCACUCUAAGGUGACUGCCGGUGACAAACCGGAGGAAGGUGGGGAUGACGUCAAAUCAUCAUGCCCCUUAUGACCUG
RNAcentral lists this ribosomal RNA (826 nucleotides) under Bacillus velezensis. RNAcentral's name for it is "bacterial SSU rRNA". It matches the Rfam family "Bacterial small subunit ribosomal RNA", at positions 393 to 1211 of the family's 1533-position model. Lineage: Bacteria; Bacillati; Bacillota; Bacilli; Caryophanales; Bacillaceae. RNAcentral also lists the same sequence under 1 other name. The record is from RNAcentral.